ACCCCAUCAACAUGCUUUUCCAGCCCCAAGAUGGUCGCCGGCCCUGCUGUGCAUUCCAGAUGUCUCCAUGGGGGAAGUAUAUACUCUUCAGGACUUUAGUCCAUAGUGCAUCCUGGGAUGUGUGCAGCCGCCAUACUUGUUUACCCAGCAACGCAUUGUUGAAGAAAGAAGCUAUUCGCUUUUCAAUUGCUAUGCAGAUGGAGACUGGCACUUUGAAGAUCGACAUGGCGUAUGUCGGUAUAGCCUGCACCACACUCUUGAUCAGGACUUCCUUACCUGCUUUGGGAUACCUAAAUAUUUUCCAGUCUUGUCAACCACAGGCACUCUCAGCUCUUGAGCCAAGUUUCUUUUCAGUGAUUCUGACAUUCCGUUAAGGUGCCAUCCAAGAAGAAGAUAACAUCAUCUGCGAACAUAAGGAUAAACAAAUAAGGCGACAUGGGAUCUCCUUGCCUUAGGCCUCUGGAUGGACUGAAAAACGAGCUGGUGUAGUACUUCCUGCACGAUCAGGAUGUUAUCCUGAAUCUGACGCCCCUUGAUGAAGGCGCUUUGCUCAGGUGUGAUUAUAUCUGGCAGCCACUGCUUCAAUCUAUUUGCAAGUAGUUUUGAGAUGAUUUUAUAAUUGAAAUUGCAAAGACUGAUGGGUCUAUACUGACUAAUU
Long non-coding RNA from Eucalyptus grandis, 658 nucleotides. RefSeq lists it as uncharacterized. NCBI's taxonomy places the organism in Eukaryota, Viridiplantae, Streptophyta, Magnoliopsida, Myrtales, Myrtaceae. The transcript is spliced from 6 exons. The record is from RefSeq and is a predicted model, not a curated record.